GGGCCUAUAGCUCAGCUGGUGAGAGCGCACGCCUGAUAAGCGUGAGGUCAGUGGUUCAAAUCCACUUAGGCCCACCA
This 77-nucleotide transfer RNA is filed under the name bacterium. RNAcentral describes it as "tRNA-Ile". It matches the Rfam family "tRNA". Rfam says of the family: Transfer RNA (tRNA) molecules are approximately 80 nucleotides in length. Their secondary structure includes four short double-helical elements and three loops (D, anti-codon, and T loops). Further hydrogen bonds mediate the characteristic L-shaped molecular structure. tRNAs have two regions of fundamental functional importance: the anti-codon, which is responsible for specific mRNA codon recognition, and the 3' end, to which the tRNAs corresponding amino acid is attached (by aminoacyl-tRNA synthetases). tRNAs cope with the degeneracy of the genetic code in two manners: having more than one tRNA (with a specific anti-codon) for a particular amino acid; and 'wobble' base-pairing, i.e. permitting non-standard base-pairing at the 3rd anti-codon position. The record is from RNAcentral. RNAcentral also lists the same sequence under 1 other name.